GCGGCGUGCUUAACACAUGCAAGUCGAACGGAAAGGCCCUGCUUUUGUGGGGUGCUCGAGUGGCGAACGGGUGAGUAACACGUGAGUAACCUGCCCUUGACUUUGGGAUAACUUCAGGAAACUGGGGCUAAUACCGGAUAGGAGCUCCUGCUGCAUGGUGGGGGUUGGAAAGUUUCGGCGGUUGGGGAUGGACUCGCGGCUUAUCAGCUUGUUGGUGGGGUAGUGGCUUACCAAGGCUUUGACGGGUAGCCGGCCUGAGAGGGUGACCGGCCACAUUGGGACUGAGAUACGGCCCAGACUCCUACGGGAGGCAGCAGUGGGGAAUAUUGCACAAUGGGCGGAAGCCUGAUGCAGCAACGCCGCGUGCGGGAUGACGGCCUUCGGGUUGUAAACCGCUUUCGCCUGUGACGAAGCGUGAGUGACGGUAAUGGGUAAAGAAGCACCGGCUAACUACGUGCCAGCAGCCGCGGUGAUACGUAGGGUGCGAGCGUUGUCCGGAUUUAUUGGGCGUAAAGGGCUCGUAGGUGGUUGAUCGCGUCGGAAGUGUAAUCUUGGGGCUUAACCCUGAGCGUGCUUUCGAUACGGGUGACUGAGGGGAAGGUAGGGGAGAAUGGAAUUCCUGGUGGAGCGGUGGAAUGCGCAGAUAUCAGGAGGAACACCAGUGGCGAAGGCGGUUCUCUGGGCCUUUCCUGACGCUGAGGAGCGAAAGCGUGGGGAGCGAACAGGCUUAGAUACCCUGGUAGUCCACGCUGUAAACGGUGGGUACUAGGUGUGGGGUCCAUUCCACGGGUUCCGUGCCGUAGCUAACGCUUUAAGUACCCCGCCUGGGGAGUACGGCCGCAAGGCUAAAACUCAAAGGAAUUGACGGGGCCCCGCACAAGCGGCGGAGCAUGCGGAUUAAUUCGAUGCAACGCGUAGAACCUUACCUGGGUUUGACAUGGAUCGGGAGUGCUCAGAGAUGGGUGUGCCUCUUUUGGGGUCGGUUCACAGGUGGUGCAUGGCUGUCGUCAGCUCGUGUCGUGAGAUGUUGGGUUAAGUCCCGCAACGAGCGCAACCCUUGUUCACUGUUGCCAGCACGUUAUGGUGGGGACUCAGUGGAGACCGCCGGGGUCAACUCGGAGGAAGGUGGGGAUGACGUCAAGUCAUCAUGCCCCUUAUGUCCAGGGCUUCACGCAUGCUACAAUGGCUGGUACAGAGAGUGGCGAGCCUGUGAGGGUGAGCGAAUCUCGGAAAGCCGGUCUCAGUUCGGAUUGGGGUCUGCAACUCGACCUCAUGAAGUCGGAGUCGCUAGUAAUCGCAGAUCAGCAACGCUGCGGUGAAUACGUUCCCGGGGCUUGUACACACCGCCCGUCAAGUCAUGAAAGUUGGUAACACCCGAAGCCGGUGGCCUAACCGUUGUGGGGGAGCCGUCGAAGGUGGGACUGGUGAUUAGG
RNAcentral lists this ribosomal RNA (1433 nucleotides) under uncultured organism. RNAcentral's name for it is "16S ribosomal RNA". It matches the Rfam family "Bacterial small subunit ribosomal RNA". The record is from RNAcentral.